This 73-nucleotide transfer RNA is filed under the name Ailuropoda melanoleuca (giant panda). It matches the Rfam family "tRNA". From Rfam's summary of the family: Transfer RNA (tRNA) molecules are approximately 80 nucleotides in length. Lineage: Eukaryota; Metazoa; Chordata; Mammalia; Carnivora; Ursidae. The record is from Rfam by way of RNAcentral.
ACCUGGCUGGCUCAGUCAGUAGAGUAUGUGACUCUUGAUCUCAGGGUUAUGAGUUCAAGCCCCACGUCGGGCA